CUUCUUGAGGUUUGCAGCAGGUUCUUGUUUUUUUGUUUGUUCCUUUCCUUUGUCAAAAUCACUGAAACUCCAAAUUGGAGACCAAAGGAAUCUCUGACAAAGUGCUCUCGCCCGCUUACUGUGUUCUUUUCUGCAACCACACACAGAAACAUACCUCUGUGUUUCAGGAAGGAUUUCGCCCUGUACAUCAAGGACUCAGGGAAGAAAGGAGGCCCUGUUGGAUUUGCCAUAAUGUUCUGUUGCAUCCUCUGUGUACAUGUAACUCUGAUUCAGUCAUGGAAUCUCAAGACUUUCAUGUUGAAAAGGAUCUUCGAGACCAUUUCAUCUCCCUGUCAGCCUGGACCACACUCUGUUGUAUGGACAAGAAAACUUACAGGGGUUCAGCUUGUGGCCGGAGAGCCCAUUCCAUGAAUUGGAGACCUCAGAGAGUUGUGUGAUCAUGGCACACCAAGGACAUAUAGGAGGAGAAUCAAAUCCAUGGUAACCGAUUUUGUAUCAGAAAUACUCACUACCAUAAGCUGCUGCGGAGAUGCAACUUGAAAGAAUAGUUUCUCAAUUAACUCAGAACAAGGAUCAAGGUGCAAGGACCACAUACAUAUUUAAAGAAUGGCCACAGAGGUAAGUUUCUCUCAUUCAUACAGUGGGGCAUGUUGUUUUAACAUGAAAUCUAUUGUGAGUGACUGAAGAUACCAUUUCCCCCACAUCUAAAGAACUCAUGUUUCAAGUCUCAAUGGAAUGCAAAUCAGUCCUGUUAUGCUCACUAUAAUAGCAAUCCAAGUUAAACAUCAAACAUGUGGAAGGAAUUUCAGGGAGGUGUUUUUAUAUUUCUACUCUGACUACUUGGUGUGACACAGCAGUUUCUCCUACACUAGCUACUUAUCCUUUCAGAUUUGUUUAGUUUGCAUAAAAACACUCUUUAAAUGCAGUAUUACACAAUGAAGUUUCAGGUAUUUGCAAAAUAAUGUGGCACAGCUGUGUUGUUAUUUAUUCUCUACCAUAAAUUCUACUGUCUGGAAAAUGAAGUUUGUUUAAAAAUAAACUCUUCGAGACUUCUUCUAAUGAACAACCCCCAUGCAAGUCUUUUAUUUUGUGGAUGGAAAAGUGCAUCUAAGAGGCUUUAUUUCACUCAAUAAUAAAUAUUAUUCUGAAAUCAGAAACCCAGAGAAAAUUGGCUAUUUUAAAAAUAGAGUUCAUUAAAACAGUUCAGAGAACCAGUUCUUCAGGAGAGCUUCCUUAAAAAGCAAACACUCUGGGGAUGGAUUGCC
Molecule: non-coding RNA, 1265 nt
Organism: Ictidomys tridecemlineatus (thirteen-lined ground squirrel)
Lineage: Eukaryota; Metazoa; Chordata; Mammalia; Rodentia; Sciuridae
Source: RefSeq, a predicted model, not a curated record